Molecule: ribosomal RNA, 497 nt
Filed under: uncultured bacterium
Lineage: Bacteria
Description: partial 16S ribosomal RNA
Rfam family: Bacterial small subunit ribosomal RNA
Source: RNAcentral
GAUGAACGCUGGCGGCGUGCCUAAUACAUGCAAGUCGAGCGAACGGACGAGAAGCUUGCUUCUCUGAUGUUAGCGGCGGACGGGUGAGUAACACGUGGAUAACCUACCUAUAAGACUGGGAUAACUUCGGGAAACCGGAGCUAAUACCGGAUAAUAUUUUGAACCGCAUGGUUCAAAAGUGAAAGACGGUCUUGCUGUAACUUAUAGAUGGAUCCGCGCUGCAUUAGCUAGUUGGUAAGGUAACGGCUUACCAAGGCAACGAUGCAUAGCCGACCUGAGAGGCGGAUCGGCGACACGGGAGCUUGGCCGCGGACAUGACUACUACGAUAGGCAGCAGUAGGGAACCUGACGCAAUGGGGGAGAACCUGGCAGAGCAGCGCGACGCGAGUGAUGAAGGUCUUCGGAUCGUAAAACUCUGUUAUUAGGGAAAAACAUAUGUGUAAGUAACCGUGCACAGCUUGACGGUACCUAAUCAGAAAGCCACGGCUAACUACGUG